This 467-nucleotide ribosomal RNA is filed under the name uncultured Rhodocyclaceae bacterium. RNAcentral's name for it is "bacterial SSU rRNA". It matches the Rfam family "Bacterial small subunit ribosomal RNA", at positions 917 to 1381 of the family's 1533-position model. Lineage: Bacteria; Pseudomonadati; Pseudomonadota; Betaproteobacteria; Rhodocyclales; Rhodocyclaceae. The record is from RNAcentral.
GACGGGACCGCACAAGCGGUGAUGAUGUGGAUUAAUCGAUGCAACGCGAAAAACCUUACCUACCCUUGACAUGUCCGGAAUCCCGAAGAGAUUUGGGAGUGCUCGCAAGAGAGCCGGAACACAGGUGCUGCAUGGCUGUCGUCAGCUCGUGUCGUGAGAUGUUGGGUUAAGUCCCGCAACGAGCGCAACCCUUGUCAUUAGUUGCCAUCAUUUGGUUGGGCACUCUAAUGAGACUGCCGGUGACAAACCGGAGGAAGGUGGGGAUGACGUCAAGUCCUCAUGGCCCUUAUGGGUAGGGCUUCACACGUCAUACAAUGGUCGGUACAGAGGGUUGCCAACCCGCGAGGGGGAGCUAAUCCCACAAAGCCGAUCGUAGUCCGGAUCGCAGUCUGCAACUCGACUGCGUGAAGUCGGAAUCGCUAGUAAUCGUGGAUCAGCAUGUCACGGUGAAUACGUUCCCGGGUCUU